CCUACGGGAGGCUGCAGUGGGGGAUAUUGCACAAUGGGGGGAACCCUGAUGCAGCGACGCCGCGUGGGUGAAGAAGCGCCUCGGCGCGUAAAGCCCUGUCAGCAGGGAAGAAAAUGACAGUGCCUGAAGAAGAAGCCCCUGCUAACUACGUGCCAGCAGCCGCGGGAAUACGUAGGGGGCAAGCGUUAUCCGGAUUUACUGGGUGUAGAGGGGGCGCAGACGGCGAUGCAAGCCAGGAGUGAAAGCCCCGGGCCCAACCCCGGGACUGCUCUUGGAACUGGGAGGCUGGAGUGCAGGAGAGGGAGGCAGAAUUCCUGGUGUAGCGGUGAAAUGCGUAGAUAUCAGGAGGAACACCGGUGGCGAAGGCGGCCUGCUGGACUGCAACUGACGUUGAGGCGCGAAAGCGUGGGGAGCAAACAGGAUUAGAUACCCCAGUAGUC
RNAcentral lists this ribosomal RNA (440 nucleotides) under uncultured bacterium. Its description in RNAcentral is "partial 16S ribosomal RNA". It matches the Rfam family "Bacterial small subunit ribosomal RNA", at positions 338 to 795 of the family's 1533-position model. The record is from RNAcentral.